GGUGCCCACUCCCGGGUGACUCGGUAACCUGUCGCUCAGGUUCCUCCUCUCACAGCCCCGCCCCGGCCUAUCCGGCCCAGCAGAGGUCCCGCCUGUUGGGAAGAGAGAGCGCCACUGCCGCUGAGGCUCUGACAGACAGCCGGUGGACAAGCUGACCGAGGGGCCUAGCCAAGCACAGGCCCUGAGGGACGGAGAGCAGGUCUGCUCUCCUUGACCCUGGCUACCACUGGGAACGUCAUGAGCCAGUCAGCAAACAUGAGUUGCUGCCCAGGAGCCGCCAAUGGCAGUCUGGGCCGGUCUGAUGGUGUGCCCAGGAUGAGCGCAAAGGACCUGUUUGCACCUGGCCACAUUCAUCAUGGACAAGAGUGAGGCUAUCGCCACAGUGGAUGAUGCCAUCCGGAAGCUGGUGCAGCUG
Molecule: long non-coding RNA, 415 nt
Filed under: Rattus norvegicus (Norway rat)
Lineage: Eukaryota; Metazoa; Chordata; Mammalia; Rodentia; Muridae
Description: long non-coding RNA NONRATT001353
Source: RNAcentral